AGAGAGAGAGAGAGAUAUUAUCGAACAGGUUAAGGGACGAAAUCAAAAGUAAAGGAAAAAUAAAAUAAAAAAUAAAUAAACGAGAGAAGAAAAAAAGAUAGAAAAGGAAGGAAAAAAAGAAAAGAAAAAUACAAAAAUACACUUAAGAAACCUCGGCAAGAAAGAAAGGAAAAAGAAAAAGAGAGGAAAGGAAAGGAAGAAAGUGAAAUAGAACGGAGAAGUAAAUUUGAGUGGAGGAAAGAAGGAAAGGAAAUAAAGAUAGAUAGAUAGAAAGAUAGACACACACAAAAAAAAAACUAAAACAAAGAAAACUGUGAGAGAAAAAUAUAGACAGAAUGAAAGAAAAUAUAAACAAAUAAAAGUAAGAAAAUCAAUGAAAACGGAGAUAGAAGUAAAGAAAACGGGAAGCAAGUGACAAAAACAAACGCGCGAUAUUGAAAAAAAGAACAAGAAAAACAAAAGAGCAUCAAACAACAACAAGAAGAACCAGAAACACACAAGGAAACACACAAACACACACUCAACACACGAGAGAAACACAACCACCACCACCACUAACAACCACAACAACAACCACAAAAACAACAACCAUUCCUCCACUUAGGACCUCCACACCACGAUUCCUUUAUGAAGAGGAACAAAGACAAAGAGGAGACAACGACCAGGAGUAAGAAGGAGGAGAAGAAGGAAAAGGAGAAGAAGGAGAAGAAGGAGAAGGAGAAGAAGGAGGCUGAGAACAAAACCGCAGGAGGAGGAGGAGGAGAAGGAGGAGGCGAUAAGAAGGAGAAGACGGUAGGAGAGGAGAAGAAGGAGGAGAAGAAGGAGAAGAAGAAGACGGAGAGCAAGAUGGGGCUAAGAAGAGGAAGCGAGGAAAAGGAGAAAGGAAAGAACGCCAAAGCUGGAGGUCCUACGUUGGUACCUCUUGGCGUGGCGGCGGGCGUGGCUACAGGGAUAGGUGGGGGGCUUGGCGGGGGGCUUGGCGGGGGCUACAGAAGACAGAGAAAGGAGUCGGAAAGAGGAGCCUCCGUGGCGGCAACGAUGAGGGAGUCCAAGUUGGUGAUCCUCGGAGCGGGCGGCGUGGGCAAGACCUCCCUGGUUCUACAGUUCCUGCAAGGGUUCUUCUCGACGGCGUACAAGCCUACCGUAGAGGACUGCUACAGCCACACUCUACAGCUGCCAAAUGGCCUGUUCCACGCCCUCGAGAUCCUGGACACAGCGGGCUCGCAUCACUUCCCUGCCAUGCGCGAGCUCUCCAUUCGCUCCGGCCGCGCUUUCGUUAUCGUGUUCGCCGUCAACAACGAGCAGAGUUUCUACGAGGCCGAGAGUCUGUGGGAGAUGAUUACCAAGAUUAAGGGGACGGAGGCGGCGCCGGUGGUGGUGGUGGGGAACAAGGUGGACCUGGAGAGAGAGCGUGCCGUCAGCUUCCAGCGGGCGCAGGACUGGGUGGACACGUGCAUGACCAACGCGUCCUACCUGGAAACCUCGGCGAAGUACAACAUUAACGUGGGCGAACUCUUCAAGCAGCUUCUCAUCCGCACCUACGGCCUGGCUAACAACGAGAUGGAACAGAACAGGGAGGUGGAGGGAGACGCAGCGCUGUAAUAAUGGAAAAUGAAGGCUGGGAGUGCGGGUUGACAGCUGGCAUGGCGGGCGGCUGCUAUGGUGAAGGGGAGGCCCAGCAUAUGUUGCCCCUGCAGAGGACCCUCCCGGCCACCGCCAAGGGGAGUGUUGAGCAUCGUGUGGGUGAGCCUGUCCCGAUGCCUGACCCUCGGAGCUCCCUCAAGGCAGAGGCUGGGGCCCACACAUUCCUGUUCACACUCUGUCCAUCCUUGCCUGGGUCCUCUCAUCCCCCAGCCUUCCCGCCAAGGUAUUCUAAUGCUCAUUCCUGGGCCGGGAUUGACGGCUGAGUUCUCCCACCACUGAGCUCCAUGACUCUCCAUCCUGGACUGUAGCAGUGCCUGUUGGAGGGUUGAACUCUUGACUCGGCCACAGCAAGCACCUGGACUGUAGCAGUGCCUGUUGGAG
Molecule: RNA transcript, 2025 nt
Organism: Eriocheir sinensis (Chinese mitten crab)
Lineage: Eukaryota; Metazoa; Arthropoda; Malacostraca; Decapoda; Varunidae
Gene name: ras-related protein Rap-1b-like
Exons: 7
Source: RefSeq, a predicted model, not a curated record